This 67-nucleotide transfer RNA is filed under the name Marmota monax (woodchuck). RNAcentral describes it as "tRNA.Ala". The record is from RNAcentral. Lineage: Eukaryota; Metazoa; Chordata; Mammalia; Rodentia; Sciuridae.
GGUUGUGGCUGAGUGGUAGAGUGCUUGCCUAGCAUGCAUGAGGCACUGGAUUCGAUCCUCAGCACCA